This is a long non-coding RNA of Hypanus sabinus (Atlantic stingray), 3857 nucleotides long. RefSeq lists it as uncharacterized. The record is from RefSeq and is a predicted model, not a curated record. The transcript is spliced from 5 exons. NCBI's taxonomy places the organism in Eukaryota, Metazoa, Chordata, Chondrichthyes, Myliobatiformes, Dasyatidae.
GUAACAUAUAUUGAGAUUGCUCCACCCCUUCCAUCCCAAUUGCUUUACAUCUUUAACACUGAACUGAAUGGAUACAGCUGAAGGAAAUCUGUGCAAGAGGGAGCUGUGCUAUGUGUGAAUAACCCUUGCUGUGCCACAGAAAACAAGUGGCAGAUGUGAAAAGAGAGACUGGACAACAAAACGACCCAGACGCUAACUACAUCCACCAUUUACUUUUGCCUAGAAUAUGAAGAUUCCAGAUCAGCCUCUAAAACCACUUAAAGACCACCAAUAGACAACACUUAGGAGAAUAUCAUACUCAACUUGAGUGAUUGCACUUCAACUAUACCCCUUCCCUAUAACUUUUUGUUCUGCCUCCAGCACCCAGAGCAUGCCCUUUUCUCACUGUUACCAUCAGGUUGGAGGUACAGAAGCCUGAAGGCACACACUCAGCGAUUCAAGAACAGCUUCUUCCCCUCUGCCAUCUGAUUCCCAAAUGGACAUUAAAUCUUUGGCUAUUUCCUCACAUUUUUUUAAAUAUGCGGUGCUGCUUGAUCCAUUGAGCUCCACCAGUAUUUCAUUUGUUGCUCCAGAAUCUAGCAUCUGCAGUCUCGUGGGUUUCCCUGUCAUCUAGACUCCAGACUUCAGACUCCAGUACAGCCUCUUAUGUACUUCUGCCAGAUAAAAACAUGGACUCAACCGGCACAGAUACAGGCCCUUCAGCCCAUUACAUCCUUCUGACCAUCAGGGAAAACUGGAUUACCCAAGAAAAGCCAUGCAGUCACGGAGAGAUUAUGCAAACUCCUAACACACAGUGGUGAUAAUUGAACUCUGAUCUUACAGCUGACGAUGUACGAGGGGUGAUUGACAUGUUCAUGGUCUAAGAGUUCCAGUGGCUUUAUGACAAGGGAAACAACUCCACAAUCGACUUUUCACUCUGAAUGUUAAUCAUGUCUCACCAAAUCCUCAUGAAGGAGCUAUCACAUCACUUUGAUUUUGAAAAUAAUGUUAACCUGUCUCGAAGGAAUGGAUCAUUAUUAAAGAUAAACCUUUUAUUUGAGAGCCACUGACAGAGCUACAGUUUUAUGUUAAUAGAUGAAAUAGACCUUGUUGACUGAGAGGCUAUUAAGUGGCAAUUUCUCUAGUGAAGUAGACAUAUCUUCUUAAUGAUCCCAAAUAACUUACAUUAAUAUAGCAAUUUUACUGCCAUGAAAUAGCCCAGGAAUCUUGUUGAGGCCUCCAUUGGUCAGGGUUGACCAUGGGUGUUGCCUCCCAACUGUCAAGAUAUCCAAGCCAGCUCAGUACAACAUGGAAGGCGAGCUGUUGCCCAUGUAGCAGGUUCCUUCUUUCAAUGCAUCUGAUGAAACCAAAGGAAUGGCUGACACCAACAGCUUUGCCUGGAAUUGCUGGUCAACAUCAAAGUCAAUGGAAGACUGUCUCAGGGACUCCAACUCUGGAUUUUUCCCUCAGGGUUUAGUCCCAAAGCAUUCCUCAUGAGUGAGUAGCGUCAUGAGGCAGUGGAGGUUUGAGAUCAGAGUUUUCCGUGUCCUAGGUGAGCUGUCAGCCACAACUGAUGAGCCCAUCUGCCUGAAAUGACUGGCUUUAAGGUGCCAAUAACCUGCCUUUACCCCUUCGCCUGUCAGUAAAAAUGGUUCCACUGGACUUAGCAGCUAAGCCACACAUGAAGGCCAGGAGUUAGACUUGGUUGACAGAGGCUAUUUGUGAUGCACGCCAUUGGGAACAUUUAAUAGGUAAUGGGAGCUUUUCUCCAUUAGCACCCCCUGCUAUAACAACCUUAAGGAACCAUUUCUCCAACCAGGAUUCUUGACAGUAGGAUUAUCAUGUAAGUGCUUGUAUCUAGCCUGUAUUAUAAGUAAAUAUGUUGAUCAUUUCAUUGAUGAUACCAUUGCCAUGCAUGUUACAAAAGCUAAAUAAAUUGGCACACCUUGGUCAAGCUCCCAUUCCUGUGAUUCAUGUAUCAUGUAACUGUAAAUAUCCUGGAGCACACCUCAGUAUGUUUUCGCCAAAAGCCAGAUUUAAACCGGAGAUGGUUUCAAGACUGCUGAUCAGAUGCUUGGGAUGGAAAGAGAGAUGUGAAGGUUUGGGAGGAAUUAACCUUCUCAAAGACUUGGGAAAGGAAAGAGGGUUUAGGGAUGGAGUGUUGCCUUUAUUGGCCACCCACAAUUAUGUUGUCCAUAAUUCCAGGCUAGGUAUUAUAUUGAAGUUGUGUAAGUCUUUGGUAAGAUCAAAUAUGGACUUGAAGAUCUGAUUCACAGGGGAGGUAUGAAAAGGUUUUGACUUUAUUCCCCGGAGAGAAGGAGAAUGAGUGAAGUCUUGAUAAAGGUAUAUACAAAAUUAUGAGAUGUAUAGAUAGGGUAAAUGCAAGCAAGCUUUUUCCACUGAGAUUGGGUAAGACUAGAAGUCAUAGGUUAAGAGUGAAAGGUGAAAUAUUUGAAAGGGAUCUGAGGGCAGUGCAAAUGUGGAAUGAGCUGCUGGCAGAUGUGAUGCAUGAGGGUUUGAUUUUAAUGUUUAAGUAAAGUUUGGAUAAGUACAUGAAUGGGGAAGGGUAUGGAAUACAGGUUGAUGGGACCAGGCAGUUAAAUAGUUCAGCAUGGACUAGAUGGGCUAAGGGGCCUGAUUUUGUGGUGUAGCUCUCUAUGACUUUAUGUAGCUGAAGCAGCGGAAGAGUAUAACUGGAACAAUUGAUUGCUUGCACUAUUAUGGAGCUGCUUGUAAUAGACUAACACCUCAAAGUCUCUGUGUAUUGUUCAUUAUCUGGAAGGUUAGACUAGCAAUUGUGACUAAUUUUGCAUAGAUUGAAGCUGCUUGUAACCCAUUGAUUUUUGUUCCAUAUCUAAACAAUAUUCAAUGUUUAUAUAGAGUCUGGCAGAGCCAGUUAUUGAUUGUUCAUACCAGAGUGGAAACACAAAGGGCAUGGAACAUACAAGCACAAUUGCCCCCUCGUAAACAAGAGAUGCAAGAGAUCAAUCAAAAUCAGGAGGGCCUUUGUCCGUGAAACUUGCUUAAGCCAGUUACUUUUUAAUGGUUGCAUUAUUGUUAACAGAACAGAAUUGGGAAUAAGUCUAAAGAAACAUAGUCAUAGCAGCUUUCUCCUGCCAAGCAUCCAAAGCAAAAUGUGAUAAGACCAGGCUGCUUCUAAUAGGUUUGUUUUCCAAGGUGAUGUUUUACCUUAAUGGAGUAACUAACAAAGAAUUUACAAUUUGCCUGAACCAUAAUAACACUGAUCAAAGACCAACGGUAGAGUCGCAAUAGAAUUGUGAGGGCUCAAGUGACCAGGGUUGGAGGACCAUGCAAGUCCAGAAGUUAAGAUUCAAUGGUAGUACCUGUAAUCUGAAGUCUGGAGUUGGAGGCCUGAUGUCUGAGAAUCUGGGGUCAAUGAUUGGAGGUCCAGAGGUGGUUUGUCCUGGGGAUGGAGGCCCGACUGUGUGUGAGAGUGAGAGAGAUUAGAAAGAGGCUUGCCUGGCUGUUUUCUCGUUUUGUUGUUCUUCUUCUUGCCUGUGUGAGCAUACUUUGUGAGCAUACUAUGUUGAUGUUUGAAUGUGUGGUGUCACUCACAGGCUUCUCCCAGCACAUCCUAGGGCAGGGGUCGGCAACCCGUGGCUCCGGAGCCGCAUGCGUCUCUUUCAUCCCUGUGGCUUUGGAAAAUAAAUGAUGAGUAUUUAAUUAAAAUGUAUUUUAUGUUAGUUUGUUAGUUUUUGAAAUGUAAUUCUAAAUUUGAAGAUUAUGGUGAUCUUGUACAAUCUAAAUAAAACUUUGUGGCAACCCAUUUCCUGGCACAUCCGAACCGGCUCACAAUUAGCCAGCGUUCCAGCUAAGGGAGAUAGCCUACGGGGGUUUGUGAGUACGUGUCUUUUGGA